This 282-nucleotide ribosomal RNA is filed under the name Porphyromonas gingivalis SJD12. Its description in RNAcentral is "partial 16S ribosomal RNA". It matches the Rfam family "Bacterial small subunit ribosomal RNA", at positions 1 to 274 of the family's 1533-position model. The record is from RNAcentral. Lineage: Bacteria; Pseudomonadati; Bacteroidota; Bacteroidia; Bacteroidales; Porphyromonadaceae.
ACAGUGGAGAGUUUGAUCCUGGCUCAGGAUGAACGCUAGCGAUAGGCUUAACACAUGCAAGUCGAGGGGCAGCAUGAUCUUAGCUUGCUAAGGUUGAUGGCGACCGGCGCACGGGUGCGUAACGCGUAUGCAACUUGCCUUACAGAGGGGGAUAACCCGUUGAAAGACGGACUAAAACCGCAUACACUUGUAUUAUUGCAUGAUAUUACAAGGAAAUAUUUAUAGCUGUAAGAUAGGCAUGCGUCCCAUUAGCUGGUUGGUGAGGUAACGGCUCACCAAGGC